UACGUAGGGCGCAAGCGUUGUCCGGAAUUAUUGGGCGUAAAGAGCUCGUAGGCGGUUUGUCGCGUCUGUCGUGAAAGCUUGGGGCUUAACCCCAAGUCUGCGGUGGAUUCGGGCAGACUAGAGGCAGGUAGGGGAGAACGGAAUUCCCGGUGUAGCGGUGAAAUGCGCAGAUAUCGGGAGGAACACCGGUGGCGAAGGCGGUUCUCUGGGCCUGUACUGACGCUGAGGAGCGAAAGCGUGGGGAGCGAACAGG
This 253-nucleotide ribosomal RNA is filed under the name uncultured bacterium. RNAcentral describes it as "partial 16S ribosomal RNA". It matches the Rfam family "Bacterial small subunit ribosomal RNA", at positions 524 to 776 of the family's 1533-position model. The record is from RNAcentral.